This 464-nucleotide long non-coding RNA is filed under the name Oryzias sinensis (Chinese medaka). RNAcentral describes it as "lncRNA (ENSOSIG00000006763.1)". Lineage: Eukaryota; Metazoa; Chordata; Actinopteri; Beloniformes; Adrianichthyidae. The record is from RNAcentral.
CACCUGACCCACUGAGCACACACAAGGAGCAAAUCUAUGCCAGGCCUAGGCCACUUUCCAGAGACUUCUCCUUUGAUAAACGAUUGUCCUCUGAGAUCUCGCCGCUCCUGUGUCCUCAGGAACAAACGCAGAUCCAAGAGCAGCUUCCCAAGCCCAAAGCGAGCAAAAAGAAAAAUGCCAAACCGGGCUCUGGCCGCAGCCAGAAAAGCAAAACACAUCAAAAAGAUUCACAGGCUAUGGUUGAAUUGACUGAUGACACCAGCAGCAGCAGAGCCAUGGCGCAUGAGACUGGGCUUGGUAGGCAGGCUAGAGAGAGUCUGAGGUGGGAAGGAGUUCUACAAGACCCCCAAGAGGAGGCCGAGAGGCUGGAGCAGUACAGAGCCAACAGGCGGCAGCGUUACAUCGCACACAGAGAGGCUCUAUUAAAAAACACCCAGCAAGCCUCAAGAGAAGCUUUAAUUUAA